UGUUUGGCUGCUAAAUAUGUCAGGACAGGUGUAAUUAGAGCCUGAAUAGGCGUGUUUAAAGCCUGGGGUGCCAUGACUACUUUAGCAGGCAGCAUGCGUGGUGACUACUUGAAUAUGCCUGGUGACUACUUGAGCCUAAUUUACAUACUACGUGUGACAUUUAUAAAAAAAAAUUCUCAUCACUUAAAGAUUUGCCAGCAGACAUCCAGUCAUGACUUGUAUGGACAGCAUGUUAUCUGACCUAUCUGUGAGCUGCUAAUUAGUCUUGUAAACCCAAGAUGGAUUUGAGAAGUUUUUCAGAGUGAACGAAGCGUGUUCUCCGGCAAGAGACAACCAAAGUAAAGAAACCCCAUGAGGCAGAAGCCAAUUUUCUUCAUCUUAGAGGAAAAUUUCUUCAAUCCAAGCCACUUUUAAACUAUUUUAUUGAAUUACCCAUCACAUCUUCCUCUGGCAAGAAGUUCCAUGGUUGCACUGCUCUUAGAGUAAAGAAACCCCUUUUAGGUAAAUCUUGAAACAUUCCUGUAGACAUGGCGAUGUCAUUUGAUAUAUGUAUUUACAGUAUG
Hyla sarda is the source of this 563-nucleotide long non-coding RNA. RefSeq lists it as uncharacterized. The transcript is spliced from 3 exons. The record is from RefSeq and is a predicted model, not a curated record. Lineage: Eukaryota; Metazoa; Chordata; Amphibia; Anura; Hylidae.